This 468-nucleotide ribosomal RNA is filed under the name uncultured bacterium. RNAcentral's name for it is "partial 16S ribosomal RNA". It matches the Rfam family "Bacterial small subunit ribosomal RNA", at positions 28 to 507 of the family's 1533-position model. The record is from RNAcentral.
GACGAACGCCGGCGGCGUGCUUAACACAUGCAAGUCGAACGGAAAGGCCCUGCUUUUGUGGGGUGCUCGAGUGGCGAACGGGUGAGUAACACGUGAGUAACCUGCCCUUGACUUUGGGAUAACUUCAGGAAACUGGGGCUAAUACCGGAUAGGAGCUCCUGCUGCGUGGUGGGGGUUGGAAAGUUUCGGCGGUUGGGGAUGGACUCGCGGCUUAUCAGCUUGUUGGUGGGGUAGUGGCUUACCAAGGCUUUGACGGGUAGCCGGCCUGAGAGGGUGACCGGCCACAUUGGGACUGAGAUACGGCCCAGACUCCUACGGGAGGCAGCAGUGGGGAAUAUUGCACAAUGGGCGGAAGCCUGAUGCAGCAACGCCGCGUGCGGGAUGACGGCCUUCGGGUUGUAAACCGCUUUCGCCUGUGACGAAGCGUGAGUGACGGUAAUGGGUAAAGAAGCACCGGCUAACUACGUG